This 513-nucleotide ribosomal RNA is filed under the name Telaugia subtilis. RNAcentral's name for it is "partial 16S ribosomal RNA". It matches the Rfam family "Bacterial large subunit ribosomal RNA", at positions 1819 to 2599 of the family's 2925-position model. The record is from RNAcentral. Lineage: Eukaryota; Metazoa; Arthropoda; Insecta; Coleoptera; Curculionidae.
GGCCUAUUGAUAAUAAUUUUAGGUCUGACCUGCCCAAUGAUGGUAAAUUUAAUGGCCGCGGUAUAUUAACCGUGCAAAGGUAGCAUAAUCAUUAGUUUUUUAAUUGAAAGCUUGUAUGAAAGGUUUGAUGAAAAAAUAGCUGUCUCUAUUUAAAUUAAUUAGAAUUUUAUUUUUGAGUUAAAAAGCUUAAAUAUUUAUAGAAGACGAGAAGACCCUAUAGAGUUUAAUAGUUGUAUGCGAUAAAGUGAUUUUUAGUAUUAUUUAAUUUAUGGGUAUAAUUAUUUGAUUGGGGUGAUUGAAAAAUUUAAUGAACUUUUUUUGUAUAUAUACAUUUAUAAAUGAUUAUUUGAUCCUUAAAUAAAGAUUAUAAGAUAAAAUUACCUUAGGGAUAACAGCGUAAUUUUUUUUUAGAGUUCAAAUUAAAAAAAAAGAUUGCGACCUCGAUGUUGGAUUAAAAGAAAUUAUUGGUGUAGAAGCUAAUAAAUUAGGUCUGUUCGACCUUUAAAAUUUUAC